Podarcis lilfordi (Lilford's wall lizard) is the source of this 80-nucleotide non-coding RNA. The record is from the annotation of a GenBank genome assembly. Lineage: Eukaryota; Metazoa; Chordata; Lepidosauria; Squamata; Lacertidae.
GUCGCUUCUCGGCCUUUUGGCUAAGAUCAAGUGUAGUAUCUGAACUUUAUUUUUCUCCAUAGAGCAAUUAGACACUUUUU